UACGUAGGGUGCGAGCGUUGUCCGGAAUUAUUGGGCGUAAAGAGCUUGUAGGCGGUCUGUCGCGUCUGCUGUGAAAAUCCGGGGCUCAACCCCGGACUUGCAGUGGGUACGGGCAGACUAGAGUGUGGUAGGGGAGACUGGAAUUCCUGGUGUAGCGGUGGAAUGCGCAGAUAUCAGGAGGAACACCGGUGGCGAAGGCGGGUCUCUGGGCCGAUACUGACACUGAGGAGCGAAAGCGUGGGGAGCGAACAGG
Molecule: ribosomal RNA, 253 nt
Filed under: uncultured bacterium
Lineage: Bacteria
Description: partial 16S ribosomal RNA
Rfam family: Bacterial small subunit ribosomal RNA
Source: RNAcentral